RNAcentral lists this ribosomal RNA (507 nucleotides) under uncultured bacterium. RNAcentral's name for it is "bacterial SSU rRNA". It matches the Rfam family "Bacterial small subunit ribosomal RNA", at positions 21 to 518 of the family's 1533-position model. The record is from RNAcentral.
GGCUCAGGAUGAACGCUAGCUACAGGCUUAACACAUGCAAGUCGAGGGGCAGCAUUGAGAUAGCUGCUAUUCAGAUGGCGACCGGCGCACGGGUGAGUAACGCGUAUCCAACCUUCCCCUAGUAGAGGAUAGCCCGGCGAAAGUCGGAUUAAUACUCUAUGUUGUAUUUUGAGGACAUCUGACGAAUACCAAAGAUUUAUCGCUAAGGGAUGGGGAUGCGUCUGAUUAGCUUGUUGGCGGGGUAACGGCCCACCAAGGCGACGAUCAGUAGGGGUUCUGAGAGGAAGGUCCCCCACAUUGGUACUGAGACACGGACCAAACUCCUACGGGAGGCAGCAGUGAGGAAUAUUGGUCAAUGGGCGAGAGCCUGAACCAGCCAAGUAGCGUGCAGGAAGAACCUGCCCUAUGGGUUGUAAACUGCUUUUAUCAGGGAAUAAAGUGCGGCACGUGUGCUGUUUUGUAUGUACCUGAUGAAUAAGGACCGGCUAAUUCCGUGCCAGCAGCAGC